UUAAGCGACUAAGCGUACACGGUGGAUGCCCUGGCAGUCAGAGGCGAUGAAGGACGUGCUAAUCUGCGAUAAGCGUCGGUGAGGUGAUAUGAACCGUUAUAACCGGCGAUUUCCGAAUGGGGAAACCCAGUGUGUUUCGACACACUAUCAUUAACUGAAUCCAUAGGUUAAUGAGGCGAACCGGGGGAACUGAAACAUCUAAGUACCCCGAGGAAAAGAAAUCAACCGAGAUUCCCCCAGUAGCGGCGAGCGAAAGGGGAGGAGCCCAGAGCCUGAAUCAGUGUGUGUGUUAGUGGAAGCGUCUGGAAAGGCGUGCGAUACAGGGUGACAGCCCCGUACACAAAAAUGCACAUAUUGUGAGCUCGAUGAGUAGGGCGGGACACGUGGUAUCCUGUCUGAAUAUGGGGGGACCAUCCUCCAAGGCUAAAUACUCCUGACUGACCGAUAGUGAACCAGUACCGUGAGGGAAAGGCGAAAAGAACCCCGGCGAGGGGAGUGAAAAAGAACCUGAAACCGUGUACGUACAAGCAGUGGGAGCCUCUUAAUGGGGUGACUGCGUACCUUUUGUAUAAUGGGUCAGCGACUUAUAUUCUGUAGCAAGGUUAACCGAAUAGGGGAGCCGAAGGGAAACCGAGUCUUAACUGGGCGUUAAGUUGCAGGGUAUAGACCCGAAACCCGGUGAUCUAGCCAUGGGCAGGUUGAAGGUUGGGUAACACUAACUGGAGGACCGAACCGACUAAUGUUGAAAAAUUAGCGGAUGACUUGUGGCUGGGGGUGAAAGGCCAAUCAAACCGGGAGAUAGCUGGUUCUCCCCGAAAGCUAUUUAGGUAGCGCCUCGUGAAUUCAUCUCCGGGGGUAGAGCACUGUUUCGGCAAGGGGGUCAUCCCGACUUACCAACCCGAUGCAAACUGCGAAUACCGGAGAAUGUUAUCACGGGAGACACACGGCGGGUGCUAACGUCCGUCGUGAAGAGGGAAACAACCCAGACCGCCAGCUAAGGUCCCAAAGUCAUGGUUAAGUGGGAAACGAUGUGGGAAGGCCCAGACAGCCAGGAUGUUGGCUUAGAAGCAGCCAUCAUUUAAAGAAAGCGUAAUAGCUCACUGGUCGAGUCGGCCUGCGCGGAAGAUGUAACGGGGCUAAACCAUGCACCGAAGCUGCGGCAGCGACACUAUGUGUUGUUGGGUAGGGGAGCGUUCUGUAAGCCUGUGAAGGUGGCCUGUGAGGGUUGCUGGAGGUAUCAGAAGUGCGAAUGCUGACAUAAGUAACGAUAAAGCGGGUGAAAAGCCCGCUCGCCGGAAGACCAAGGGUUCCUGUCCAACGUUAAUCGGGGCAGGGUGAGUCGACCCCUAAGGCGAGGCCGAAAGGCGUAGUCGAUGGGAAACAGGUUAAUAUUCCUGUACUUGGUGUUACUGCGAAGGGGGGACGGAGAAGGCUAUGUUGGCCGGGCGACGGUUGUCCCGGUUUAAGCGUGUAGGCUGGUUUUCCAGGCAAAUCCGGAAAACCAAGGCUGAGGCGUGAUGACGAGGCACUACGGUGCUGAAGCGACAAAUGCCCUGCUUCCAGGAAAAGCCUCUAAGCAUCAGGUAACAUCAAAUCGUACCCCAAACCGACACAGGUGGUCAGGUAGAGAAUACCAAGGCGCUUGAGAGAACUCGGGUGAAGGAACUAGGCAAAAUGGUGCCGUAACUUCGGGAGAAGGCACGCUGAUAUGUAGGUGAAGCGACUUGCUCGUGGAGCUGAAAUCAGUCGAAGAUACCAGCUGGCUGCAACUGUUUAUUAAAAACACAGCACUGUGCAAACACGAAAGUGGACGUAUACGGUGUGACGCCUGCCCGGUGCCGGAAGGUUAAUUGAUGGGGUUAGCGGUAACGCGAAGCUCUUGAUCGAAGCCCCGGUAAACGGCGGCCGUAACUAUAACGGUCCUAAGGUAGCGAAAUUCCUUGUCGGGUAAGUUCCGACCUGCACGAAUGGCGUAAUGAUGGCCAGGCUGUCUCCACCCGAGACUCAGUGAAAUUGAACUCGCUGUGAAGAUGCAGUGUACCCGCGGCAAGACGGAAAGACCCCGUGAACCUUUACUAUAGCUUGACACUGAACAUUGAGCCUUGAUGUGUAGGAUAGGUGGGAGGCUUUGAAGUGUGGACGCCAGUCUGCAUGGAGCCGACCUUGAAAUACCACCCUUUAAUGUUUGAUGUUCUAACGUUGGCCCGUAAUCCGGGUUGCGGACAGUGUCUGGUGGGUAGUUUGACUGGGGCGGUCUCCUCCUAAAGAGUAACGGAGGAGCACGAAGGUUGGCUAAUCCUGGUCGGACAUCAGGAGGUUAGUGCAAUGGCAUAAGCCAGCUUGACUGCGAGCGUGACGGCGCGAGCAGGUGCGAAAGCAGGUCAUAGUGAUCCGGUGGUUCUGAAUGGAAGGGCCAUCGCUCAACGGAUAAAAGGUACUCCGGGGAUAACAGGCUGAUACCGCCCAAGAGUUCAUAUCGACGGCGGUGUUUGGCACCUCGAUGUCGGCUCAUCACAUCCUGGGGCUGAAGUAGGUCCCAAGGGUAUGGCUGUUCGCCAUUUAAAGUGGUACGCGAGCUGGGUUUAGAACGUCGUGAGACAGUUCGGUCCCUAUCUGCCGUGGGCGCUGGAGAACUGAGGGGGGCUGCUCCUAGUACGAGAGGACCGGAGUGGACGCAUCACUGGUGUUCGGGUUGUCAUGCCAAUGGCACUGCCCGGUAGCUAAAUGCGGAAGAGAUAAGUGCUGAAAGCAUCUAAGCACGAAACUUGCCCCGAGAUGAGUUCUCCCUGACUCCUUGAGGGUCCUGAAGGAACGUUGAAGACGACGACGUUGAUAGGCCGGGUGUGUAAGCGCAGCGAUGCGUUGAGCUAACCGGUACUAAUGAACCGUGAGGCUUAACCUU
Molecule: ribosomal RNA, 2902 nt
Filed under: Escherichia coli HVH 114 (4-7037740)
Lineage: Bacteria; Pseudomonadati; Pseudomonadota; Gammaproteobacteria; Enterobacterales; Enterobacteriaceae
Description: bacterial LSU rRNA
Rfam family: Bacterial large subunit ribosomal RNA
Source: RNAcentral